RNAcentral lists this transfer RNA (564 nucleotides) under uncultured Prochlorococcus sp. RNAcentral's name for it is "partial 16S-23S ribosomal RNA intergenic spacer". The stretch from base 124 to 197 matches the Rfam family "tRNA". The record is from RNAcentral. Lineage: Bacteria; Bacillati; Cyanobacteriota; Cyanophyceae; Synechococcales; Prochlorococcaceae.
CAGGGAGACAACAAAAUGUUAAAUAUUAAUUUUGUCACCUUAGGUCGAUCGGUAUCUCACAUUCUUAAUUUAUUAAGGAUUUUAUUUCCUAAGUUUUUUCUAGGUCACACCCAUUUUUUCCCUGGGCCAUUAGCUCAGGUGGUUAGAGCGCACCCCUGAUAAGGGUGAGGUCCCUGGUUCAAGUCCAGGAUGGCCCAUAUCUCUAUGUUGGGGGUAUAGCUCAGUUGGUAGAGCGCCUGCUUUGCAAGCAGGAUGUCAGGAGUUCGAGUCUCCUAACCUCCACUGACCGAACUUGAUUCCCAUCUCCAAUUUUUUGGAGUUGAGCUCGAUUGGAGUGUGAUUUAGAUGUGUCCGCUGGAUGACCCCAGCUUCCUGUCAUUCCAAGUUUUAGGUUGAUGCCUUGAAUUUGGUUGAUAAGAUGCUGGGCUCGGAUCAAAUAAUCAAGCAAUUGAUGAUUUGAUUUGAAGUUCUAGCAGAACCUUGACAACUGCAUAGGUGAGUCUGGAAAAAACAAAGCAUCUUACAGAUGCAUUGUUUUGAAUCCGAUCUUCUGAAAGGGAGAUU